UACGUAGGGAGCAAGCGUUGUCCGGAAUCAUUGGGCGUAAAGAGCGUGUAGGCGGUCCUGUAAGUCCGCUGUGAAAGUCAAGGGCUCAACCCUUAAAUGCCGGUGGAUACUGCAGGACUAGAGUCCGGAAGAGGCGAGUGGAAUUCCUGGUGUAGCGGUGAAAUGCGCAGAUAUCAGGAGGAACACCGAUGGCGAAGGCAGCUCGCUGGGACGGUACUGACGCUGAGACGCGAAAGCGUGGGGAGCAAACAGG
This 253-nucleotide ribosomal RNA is filed under the name uncultured bacterium. Its description in RNAcentral is "partial 16S ribosomal RNA". It matches the Rfam family "Bacterial small subunit ribosomal RNA", at positions 524 to 776 of the family's 1533-position model. The record is from RNAcentral.